RNAcentral lists this long non-coding RNA (376 nucleotides) under Phoenix dactylifera (date palm). RNAcentral's name for it is "long non-coding RNA (PDAC_LNC006588)". The record is from RNAcentral. Lineage: Eukaryota; Viridiplantae; Streptophyta; Magnoliopsida; Arecales; Arecaceae.
GAGGACGCUUGGGGAGUGGACGUAGGUGCCUUGGGGUGCACCGAACCACUAUACAUCGUGGUGUUUGUGUUGUGGCUUCACUUGUGAUUAUUCUUGCAUUAUCUUUCAUCUUUGCUAUAGUUUAAUUCAUUGAAGUAAUUUAAGAAAGCAUCCACCGCACUCAACUAAGGAAGUUUUUUAAAGCACUAAAAAUUUGGAAAAACCCAAUUCACCCCCCCUCUUGGGUUGUCACCUUGGGCAACAUAGCUCUAUCGUGGCAUACACUCAAAAUUGCUUGAAAUAUGUUUCAUUGAUUAUAUGAAUUAGUCUAACCUUAAGAUGCAGGAAAGUGUGGAUUGAGUCGACCCCAAGCUAAGUGGAGUCGACCCUGGCACAC